Molecule: long non-coding RNA, 607 nt
Organism: Lathyrus oleraceus (garden pea)
Lineage: Eukaryota; Viridiplantae; Streptophyta; Magnoliopsida; Fabales; Fabaceae
Exons: 3
Source: RefSeq, a predicted model, not a curated record
UGAGAACACGUAUCGGUUUGAGAAAAAGGAGAAAAGAGGUCGACCUUAGAAGAGAGAAGUGCAAAGUAGGAUCUCCCAUCUCCAAGAACUCAAUAUUUUCUACUAAAUCGAGAAAACACAUUAUGCAACGAUGACAAGCGUCACCCACGUGAGAGUCCAACAGUCAUCGUAACAGAGAAGUAGACACCAAACUAUCAGCGAUGACAGGCGUCGGCCAUAUGACGGUCUAACCGUCAGUGCCUCACGAAAGACAUGAAUUCCCUCAUACCGUCAACGAUGACGAGUAGUACACCCAGAGGGCGACGAUCAUCAUGGUCGUGACGGUCCAACUGUUAGUCGUUGAGACUGAGGAGUGAUAGCUGUUAUUUUUUGGAGGAUGACAUAGUUAGCCUCUUUGGCUAGUUUGCUUGUAUUUUAUAUUUUCGUCAAACAUUUAUUGGCUAUUAGUAUUAUUCCAGAUUUUGCUCAUAUAUUGUAACAUCGGGUUGGAAAUACCUUUAUACGUCUUAUGAUUUGUUUUAAACUAAAUUAGUAUGUUAUGUUGUGAAUUUUAAUUCCCCCUUUGGAGUAAAAGUUAAUGUUUUGUCAAUGUGACAUCCUUAUUUCA